CGAACGCUGGCGGCAGGCCUAACACAUGCAAGUCGAGCGCCCAGCAAUGGGAGCGGCAGACGGGAGAGUAACACGUGGGAACAUGCCCUUCAGUUCGGAACAACCAAGGGAAACUUUGGCUAAUACCGGAUACGCCCUUACGGGGAAAGAUUUAUCGCUGAAGGAUUGGCCCGCGUUAGAUUAGCUAGUUGGUGAGGUAAUGGCUCACCAAGGCUACGAUCUAUAGCUGGUCUGAGAGGAUGAUCAGCCUCACUGGGACUGAGACACGGCCCAGACUCCUACGGGAGGCAGCAGUGGGGAAUAUUGGACAAUGGGCGCAAGCCUGAUCCAGCCAUGCCGCGUGGAUGAUGAAGGCCCUAGGGUUGUAAAGUCCUUUUAACGGGGAAGAUAAUGACGGUACCCGUAGAAUAAGCCCCGGCUAACUUCGUGCCAGCCGCCGCAGUAAAAC
This 448-nucleotide ribosomal RNA is filed under the name uncultured bacterium. RNAcentral's name for it is "bacterial SSU rRNA". It matches the Rfam family "Bacterial small subunit ribosomal RNA", at positions 30 to 526 of the family's 1533-position model. The record is from RNAcentral.